Molecule: ribosomal RNA, 402 nt
Filed under: uncultured prokaryote
Description: bacterial SSU rRNA
Rfam family: Bacterial small subunit ribosomal RNA
Source: RNAcentral
UGGGGAAUAUUGGACAAUGGGCGCAAGCCUGAUCCAGCCAUGCCGCGUGAGUGAUGACGGCCCUAGGGUUGUAAAGCUCUUUUACCCGGGAAGAUAAUGACGGUACCGGGAGAAUAAGCCCCGGCUAACUUCGUGCCAGCAGCCGCGGUAAUACGAAGGGGGCUAGCGUUGUUCGGAAUCACUGGGCGUAAAGCGCACGUAGGCGGAUCUUUAAGUCAGGGGUGAAAUCCCGGGGCUCAACCCCGGAACUGCCGUUGAUACUGGAGAUCUCGAGUUCGGGAGAGGUGAGUGGAACUGCGAGUGUAGAGGUGAAAUGCGUAGAUAUUCGCAAGAACACCAGUGGCGAAGGCGGCUCACUGGCCCGAUACUGACGCUGAGGUGCGAAAGCGUGGGGAGCAAACA